GCGGCGUGCCUAAUACAUGCAAGUCGAACGAACUCUGGUAUUGAUUGGUGCUUGCAUCAUGAUUUACAUUUGAGUGAGUGGCGAACUGGUGAGUAACACGUGGGAAACCUGCCCAGAAGCGGGGGAUAACACCUGGAAACAGAUGCUAAUACCGCAUAACAACUUGGACCGCAUGGUCCGAGCUUGAAAGAUGGCUUCGGCUAUCACUUUUGGAUGGUCCCGCGGCGUAUUAGCUAGAUGGUGGGGUAACGGCUCACCAUGGCAAUGAUACGUAGCCGACCUGAGAGGGUAAUCGGCCACAUUGGGACUGAGACACGGCCCAAACUCCUACGGGAGGCAGCAGUAGGGAAUCUUCCACAAUGGACGAAAGUCUGAUGGAGCAACGCCGCGUGAGUGAAGAAGGGUUUCGGCUCGUAAAACUCUGUUGUUAAAGAAGAACAUAUCUGAGAGUAACUGUUCAGGUAUUGACGGUAUUUAACCAGAAAGCCACGGCUAACUACGUGCCAGCAGCCGCGGUAAUACGUAGGUGGCAAGCGUUGUCCGGAUUUAUUGGGCGUAAAGCGAGCGCAGGCGGUUUUUUAAGUCUGAUGUGAAAGCCUUCGGCUCAACCGAAGAAGUGCAUCGGAAACUGGGAAACUUGAGUGCAGAAGAGGACAGUGGAACUCCAUGUGUAGCGGUGAAAUGCGUAGAUAUAUGGAAGAACACCAGUGGCGAAGGCGGCUGUCUGGUCUGUAACUGACGCUGAGGCUCGAAAGUAUGGGUAGCAAACAGGAUUAGAUACCCUGGUAGUCCAUACCGUAAACGAUGAAUGCUAAGUGUUGGAGGGUUUCCGCCCUUCAGUGCUGCAGCUAACGCAUUAAGCAUUCCGCCUGGGGAGUACGGCCGCAAGGCUGAAACUCAAAGGAAUUGACGGGGGCCCGCACAAGCGGUGGAGCAUGUGGUUUAAUUCGAAGCUACGCGAAGAACCUUACCAGGUCUUGACAUACUAUGCAAAUCUAAGAGAUUAGACGUUCCCUUCGGGGACAUGGAUACAGGUGGUGCAUGGUUGUCGUCAGCUCGUGUCGUGAGAUGUUGGGUUAAGUCCCGCAACGAGCGCAACCCUUAUUAUCAGUUGCCAGCAUUAAGUUGGGCACUCUGGUGAGACUGCCGGUGACAAACCGGAGGAAGGUGGGGAUGACGUCAAAUCAUCAUGCCCCUUAUGACCUGGGCUACACACGUGCUACAAUGGAUGGUACAACGAGUUGCGAACUCGCGAGAGUAAGCUAAUCUCUUAAAGCCAUUCUCAGUUCGGAUUGUAGGCUGCAACUCGCCUACAUGAAGUCGGAAUCGCUAGUAAUCGCGGAUCAGCAUGCCGCGGUGAAUACGUUCCCGGGCCUUGUACACACCGCCCGUCACACCAUGAGAGUUUGUAACACCCAAAGUCGGUGGGGUAACCUUUUAGGAACCAGCCGC
Molecule: ribosomal RNA, 1452 nt
Filed under: Lactiplantibacillus plantarum
Lineage: Bacteria; Bacillati; Bacillota; Bacilli; Lactobacillales; Lactobacillaceae
Description: bacterial SSU rRNA
Rfam family: Bacterial small subunit ribosomal RNA
Source: RNAcentral